RNAcentral lists this ribosomal RNA (750 nucleotides) under uncultured Sphingobacteriia bacterium. RNAcentral's name for it is "bacterial SSU rRNA". It matches the Rfam family "Bacterial small subunit ribosomal RNA", at positions 87 to 825 of the family's 1533-position model. The record is from RNAcentral. Lineage: Bacteria; Pseudomonadati; Bacteroidota; Sphingobacteriia.
GCCGGCGACCGGCAAACGGGUGCGCAACACGUACACAACCUACCUGAGCAGUGGGGGACAGCCCAGAGAAAUUUGGAUUAAUACCCCAUAUAAUUAUAGAGUGGCAUCACUUAAUAAAUAAAGACCAGCAAUGGUUGCUCUUAGAUGGGUGUGCGUCUGAUUAGGUAGUUGGUUGAGGUAACGGCUCACCAAGCCUUCGAUCAGUAACUGGUGUGAGAGCACGACCAGUCACACGGGCACUGAGACACGGGCCCGACUCCUACGGGAGGCAGCAGUAAGGAAUAUUGGUCAAUGGACGCAAGUCUGAACCAGCCAUGCCGCGUGAAGGAUGAAGGUCCUCUGGAUUGUAAACUUCUUUUAUCUGUGAAGAAAGGCGUCUUUUCUAAGGCGUUUGACGGUAACAGAGGAAUAAGCACCGGCUAACUCCGUGCCAGCAGCCGCGGUAAUACGGAGGGUGCAAGCGUUAUCCGGAUUUACUGGGUUUAAAGGGUGCGUAGGCGGGCCGGUAAGUCAGUGGUGAAAUCUGUGGGCUUAACCCACAAACUGCCAUUGAUACUAUCGGUCUUGAAUAGCGUGAAGGUGAGCGGAAUAUGUCAUGUAGCGGUGAAAUGCUUAGAUAUGACAUAGAACACCAGUUGCGAAGGCAGCUCACUGCGCGCACGAAUUGACGCUGAGGCACGAAAGCGUGGGGAUCAAACAGGAUUAGAUACCCUGGUAGUCCACGCCCUAAACGAUGGAUACUCGACAUAC